CCUACGGGUGGCAGCAGUGGGGAAUAUUGCACAAUGGGGGAAACCCUGAUGCAGCGACGCCGCGUGAGUGAAGAAGUAAUUCGUUACGUAAAGCUCUAUCAGCAGGGAAGAAACACUGACCUUACGGUCAGCAGACGGUCCCUGAGUAAGAAGCCCCGGCUAACUACGUGCCAGCAGCCGCGGUAAUACGUAGGGGGCAAGCGUUAUCGGGGUUUACUGGGUGUAAAGGGGGCGUAGACGGUGCGCCACGUCUGGAGUGAAAUGCCGCAGCUUAACUGCGGAACUGCUUUGGAAACUGGCGAACUAGAGUGCGGGAGGGGUAAGCGGAAUUCCUAGUGUAGCGGUGAAAUGCGUAGAUAUUAGGAGGAACACCAGUGGCGAAGGCGGCUUACUGGACUGUAACUGACGUUGAGGCUCGAAAGCGUGGGGAGCAAACAGGAUUAGAUACCCCAGUAGUC
Molecule: ribosomal RNA, 458 nt
Filed under: uncultured bacterium
Lineage: Bacteria
Description: partial 16S ribosomal RNA
Rfam family: Bacterial small subunit ribosomal RNA
Source: RNAcentral